Molecule: ribosomal RNA, 254 nt
Filed under: uncultured bacterium
Lineage: Bacteria
Description: partial 16S ribosomal RNA
Rfam family: Bacterial small subunit ribosomal RNA
Source: RNAcentral
UACGGGGGGGGGCAAGCGUUGUUCGGAAUUACUGGGCGUAAAGGGCUCGUAGGCGGCCAAUUAAGUCCGACGUGAAAUCCCCAGGCUUAACCUGGGAACUGCGUCGGAUACUGGAUGGCUUGAAUUCGGGAGAGGAAUGCAGAAUUCCAGGUGUAGCGGUGAAAUGCGUAGAUAUCUGGAGGAAUACCGGUGGCGAAGGCGGCAUCCUGGACCGACAUUGACGCUGAUGAGCGAAAGCUAGGGGAGCAAACGGG